CUUUUACACAACACAAUCAUGUUGUCUGUCCCCUUUUCUUCUACAAAUCUUCAAACACUCCCACCCAGGGAGGUGCUGGCAAGUAUCAGUGCUUUGGCCCCACUGUCUACAGUCUUAUCCAUUUGGCGCCUGAUCUAGUGCUCUCACAUUACCAGCAGUGGGUUCUGUUUUCGACUGUGAAAAGCUAACCCAUCAGGCAGACUGCUGCUUCCAGCUACCGUAGUCCCACAACAUGAUGUUAAGCUGUGUGGUGCUGUCUGAAUUUGACAAGGAACAUAUUAUGCAAAGCAGCGCUGGCCCUGUCCCCAGGAGCAAAACCACCUUGAAGCCACUCCAACGUCAGAGGAAAUGAGACAGGCCUUCCACUUCAGUUGGUGCUGAAGCAGGCAGAAAAGAACUGCAUGGCAGCAUCUGUCAGCAGCCUCAUGAUGUGAUGAUCUGUACUGUGGUGUUCUCAAAGAUGGAUGAUAAAAGAUAUUCCAGCAUACAUUAAAAUGGAGUUACAGUUCAAUACAUAGCAGUAACUUAAGGGUAAAAACAUUACAGGGAUGUUGAAAUUAAGCCAAAAACAAGCAUUAAAAGUCGAGAACCUUUGGAGUGAAAAUCCAACCAUGUUAAGAUAUGGAAACACAUAGUUAAGGUACCUUAACUCUGCCCUGUGGGGGACACUGCAAUAAGCAGAUGAUUAUUAGGAAACCAUCUUAGCAGUUGGUGUAGAUUAAACUGAUUUUUAAAGCUUUUAGGAGUUUUUCAUCUCUCUCCCCACCCUCAGGUAUCACUAUAGGACAGCAUUAAUGGUGUUUGGAUGCAUUAACUGUUUAUUUCUUGACCUAACGGAACAAAAGGGCUUUUGUAAAAUGGAGGUUUGAAUGAUGGGGAGAGAGAGCUAACUUUUCAGUAAGUUACAUGAUGAAGCAAGGUGCGGUUUCUUCUGAUUAGACUGAACACAUUUGUGGCCAAUGUCCUUGGAAACAAGACUUCACCCUCCUCCCCCCCCCCCCCCCCGCCCGCCACUUCCUCUAAUGGAGAAAUACUGGCACAUCAGGGAGACCUACUACAGCAGUAGAGAAAAACUGAUUACACAUAGGAAGGCCCCAGUCCUGCAACUGACUCCAAAUAGGCCUACCUUGGUGUCCAUGUAGAGCCCUGUUUGCUUCCAGAUGAGCCAGGGGUCCCCUGUGUGGUUCUCAGGGCAGGGUCAGGCACUACAUGUUUUGUUUUAAACAGGCGUAAGUAGAGAACGCAACAAACAGAAGAAGAAUAUGCUGAGGAGCAGCUUGUGCUUCCACCACAGUCAAACACCUACCUAGCACAGGAAACGUACCACCCAAGAGGGAGCUCUGGGGAGAGACCGUGACUCAGGAGGCACAAUGGCCCCAGCAGCUUCCCAGCACACAGGCAGUCAAGUCGCACCAUCAGUUUGUAGGGAGGCGGAUCUAUGGCCCUGCCUAUUCCCUAUGCUUUCUGGGGUAGCUUAAAGAGUAGGGCCUGUGUUCCUGUUAUGCCAGGCCCUGUGCAAGGAGUGUGGAAGGCUUAUUGCCCCUCUGCCACCAGCUGCACACCCACAUUAGGAUCCAAUGCAAUCAGCCCCGGCCUGUAGAGAUGGGCCUGUACCAAAUGCUCUGUGCCGAACACUACUGAACUCUGUGGAAUUUUGACUGGGAGCCCGAUUUUGUGGCUCAGGGUCAUUUCUAACACCAAACUACUGAUAUACCCAAGAGAAGUGAUUCACUUUGCUUCUGUAUGUUAUCAUACACUUCCACAAAGUAAGAACCAUCCUUCUUUUUGUUUUGUUUUGGUUUUUUGGGGGUUGUUUUAAAUAUGAAACUCUCAUUUGAAAUGUGAUCCUAUUCCCCAUUGGCCAGUUUACCAAAUAACAAAGCCAAUAGCAACAAAAGUAUCUUACGGAGUGCUUCACAGAAUAGAGUAAGGGCUAAAUUUUCAAAAGUGACUAGUGAUUUUUUGGGUGCCUCACGUGUUGCUGCCUGGCUUUCAGAAUGUGCUGAGCCACCCGCCCUCUGAAAAUUAGGCCCAUUUAAGAUGUCAGGUUGGGCACCCAAAAUUGCUGGUCACACUUGAAAAUUUAUGCUCAUGUAUGCUGUCUGGGUUACCAGGAUAGCUCCACCUGUGUGUGUGUCUCUCUCUCUCUCUCUCUCUCAUUCUCUCAGUGAACCCCGUGAGCUCUUAGGUCUCAUGCCUUCACCUCUGCUGGGGUGGGAUCCCUGAUUUUCCCACUUUCCGAGCAGGGUCCUGGGCUACAGCCAUCUGUGUACCAACUGUGGUUACUCAGCAGACGUGACUGGUUUUGAUACAUGGAGUUCUUCCCUUUUGGGAGCGUGUCGACCAUCGUUAAUAUAGGUAGCCAGACAGCUUUCUCAGGCCAAAAGUAUGGUUUAACCUUAACAGCAGGAACAAAGCAUAUCCCAAGAGAAGAAAGGGUUUUAACACAGUAAAAGUCUUAUACACAUGUCCAUCUUACCGUAAACCUGUCCAGCCUGUGGUAGUGUGCCAGGCAACUUUUUAGUGCUUCAGUUCCUCCAUAGAAGCUUCCUCUGUCAGUCUGUUCUCUGUGAACAGCUCCUGACAACUGCCUCCCCUCUGUGGCAUUUUUAACUCUUUAGUGUCUUUUAGCCUCUUGGCUCCUAGCCUUUGGCUGGAGACUGGAAGUAGCAUCUUCCCAGCUAAAAGCUCAGGCAUUCUCUUAAGGAUCCCUGCCAUGUUUACCACGAGGUUGCUUAAGAAGCUAUUAUGUUGCCUUCCUACUAAUUUCCCAAUACCCCUGCUUUUAAACGAAACUAAUAUAUGUAUACAGUAAACAUUCCAAUAACCCAAUAAAGCCAUAAAGUUAACUACCCCAAUAACAACAUUCUCAAAUUAUUACGGAUUAGCCCCACAUCCUUCACAUAUACGACACCAAUGAAAUGCAGUCCCCUUUGGGGCAGAGCUUAGAGAGGUAGCGAGUUGGCACAGUGCAUAAGUGUGGAUGGCAGGGGAAGCUUUGACCAAAGAUGUUUUAUAUAUACUACUUGGAUGAUUAGUAAGCAGAGAGAAACCGAUUCCACAUUCAAUCAAGCUACAAAGGAUUUUUGAGGGAAAAAAAUCCUAUCAUCCCAAACAUAAACUCAUCCUCUGUGAAUUAAAGUAGGAUUUGCAACAGCAAAAACUCAGAUAUUGCACAUUUCUGCCUCAAAUGUACUUUGUGAAAAUAAUUAUAGUUUUAACAGUGAAAAGCUAUCAUUUCUGUGCACAAAAACUUGGUAGCUUUUUUCUCACAGCUGUAAAAAAAAAAAAAAAUGCAAAGAACUGAUGGUGCUGUCUGGGUAGUUUAUAUGGCCUCCAUCACUGUAGUACCUGAGCACCUCAUACGCAUGAGCCUUACUGUAUCCCAGUGAGGUGGUAUGUUUAUUAUCCCCUUUUUACCGAUGGGGAACUGAGGGGCACAGAGAAACUGUGACUUACCGAAGGUCAUACAGGGAAGAUGUGGGAAAGCCAGGAAACUAACCUAAAUGUCCUAAAUCCUUGUGCAGUGUCUUGACCACAAGGUCAUUUUCCCCUAAAUUCCCAGUUCUCUUUCCCCUUUGUUCCCUCAGACUUGACUGGAUGAAAUUCAGGGAGCACUACUUGUAAAUGUCCCAAGUGCUUGGGCUUUAAAACUUGUCGGAGCCCUGUGAGAAGAGACCAGAUGAAUGGCUCCUGCAAGUGACUCAACAUUCAGAGCAAGCUGCUGGCUGUUUAGAAGGCACAUGAGACUGUCCAACUGAUUUCACAUUGGACCUCUGGCUGAAAUUGUGUGUGUGUCCCAGAGGUAAACUGUGAUGAUGCCAGAACAGAGAGCACACAGUUGGGCUGCCACACUGGGCAGGGAAUGUUACAGGAAUAGAUAUUCUUACAAGCUUUCUGUUUUUGAUCAAGCCAAAUCCAACCCUCUGAGAGAGCUACCAUUCCACAAAGAUUCUACAGCUAGACAAGCUCUGAAUGGGACUCUGAUGUGCACAUAAUUUUCAGCUUCUGUGGAACACUUUACCAGAGGAGACCAAACAGACCAGGCCCAGCAUCUAAAUGCAAGAUCCAUCUCUUUGAUAAAGCUCCCAAGCAAGCCUGUUCCUGCAGAAUUUUCAGCCCAGUCUCGCAGGGCUGCUGUGAAAAGUUUAUAGUAUUCAGAGAAUAAUUUGCUGAUUUGAGUGCUUAUUUGAACUUCCAAAUACAAAACCAGGCUUGUAUCCAUUAAAGACGUUUUUCAGAUUUAAUCAGAUGCUAAUCUUGUUGUUUAUGCACAAAAAUCUGAAGUCCUUACUCAAGCAAACUUUCUUUGAAGAAUGUGAGUAAGGACUUAGAGAGUGGCCCACUCUGUUAAUUGUAUAAUUAGAGAGUCCGCUGUCCCCAGCAAGGUUUAUUUUUAACACCUCUCUUCAGUAAUCAUCAUCAAGGGGAAGGAAUAGUCUCUUUUCCUGAUACUUCCCACUCCUUUUUUUUUUUUUUCUAUUCUCUCUUGAGGUUGGAUUUUGUUAUCUGAUUUGACUUCCCUUCAAGCGAAAGUCUGACUUAAUAGAAUGUAGUUGUAUUGUCCUUCACCCCAAACUCAUGGCUCCUUUAUCCAGCUGGGUUUUCUUUUUAGAGCACUGCCACCCAUUUUCUGUUGACUGGAAGAAGCAGAGUAAUCCACAGGUACUUAAAUUUGAUCCACCUGUAUCAACCAGCCAGUCACUUCUAAAGAGGACUGGAGAGAUUUUAACAAAUAAAUCAAGGCCACACAGUGUUAACAAGCCCCCACAAGAAAAGGUAACUGAAUACUCAAACUUCUAUCGCUGUAUGAAAUGGACUGGAAAAUUUAGACAAAUGCCAGUUGGAUUCUCUCCACAUUUGGAUAGCAACUCCAGAUUGCCACAGGGAAAUGGUAGUUCUACCAAGAAAGCAUGUGAAAUAUGCUUUUCCACUUUUUAUUAAAAGCUUUUAAAAAAUUCCAGAGCAAAUUUUCCAGAGCACUUAAGUGACUUGGGACUUGAUCCUAUACCA
Molecule: long non-coding RNA, 5013 nt
Organism: Chelonia mydas (Green sea turtle)
Lineage: Eukaryota; Metazoa; Chordata; Testudines; Cheloniidae
Exons: 5
Source: RefSeq, a predicted model, not a curated record